RNAcentral lists this ribosomal RNA (418 nucleotides) under uncultured prokaryote. RNAcentral's name for it is "bacterial SSU rRNA". It matches the Rfam family "Archaeal small subunit ribosomal RNA", at positions 455 to 873 of the family's 1478-position model. The record is from RNAcentral.
GUGUCAGCAGCCGCGGUAAUACCAGCUCUCCGAGUGGUGGGGACGUUUAUUGGGCCUAAAGCAUCCGUAGCCAGCUGAGCAAGUCCCCAGUUAAAUCCAGCGAUUUAAUCGUUGGACUGCUGGGGAUACUGUCCGGCUAGGGGGUGGGAGAGGCCGACGGUAUUCCCGGGGUAGGGGUGAAAUCCUAUAAUCCCGGGAGGACCACCAGUGGCGAAGGCUGUUGGCUAAAACAUGCCCGACGGUGAGGGAUGAAAGCUGGGGGAGCGAACCGGAUUAGAUACCCGGGUAGUCCCAGCUGUAAACGAUGCAGGCUAGGUGUUAGGGCGGCCACGUGCCGCUCUAGUGCCGCAGGGAAGCUGUUAAGCCUGCCGCCUGGGGAGUACGGCCGCAAGGCUGAAACUCAAAUGAAUUGACGGGG